UAUAAACCUAAAUCCUCCGUUCACCCCACUCCAGGUUUAUAAUGAAAACAAUCAUUAUUUCGGUGUUUGUGUAUUAAUUCCUUGUGUCGCGGAGCUAGAGAUAUUUGAACUAGAUAUUGAAGAUUGUUUGUCCUCAAAACUAUCAAAAUGUGAAUCAAAUGAGCUACAGCUGCAGGUUUCGGAAUAUUCAUCGCUUUCAUCACUUAAUAUUGGACGGCUCCCGAGCCUGAACCAAGGUAAAAUUGCCUUAUUAAUCAUUGUUUGUAAACUUUUUACAUUAUCAAAUUCCCCAGAAACAGAUUGAUCCAGUACCACAUCUUCACACUUUUCAAAAUUGUUAGGUUGAUAUAUCAUCAAAAUCAACGGAAUUAUAUAUUUUCUUAUUAUGAUUUGGAAUGCAGAAAUAGGAUCAUUUCCGCAGGAAGAUGCUUCUCCGCAAUAAAGCAAUAUUUCUUUAAAUUCCCAAUAGUCCAAACCUUUCGGAUUAGUAAUGACUGCAGAGUAGCAUCUUUCUAAUUGAAUUGGAGUAAUAUAUUCCUCAAAAUUCCCUCCUAGUAAACCAGAAUCAUUCAUUAAAUUGUAAAAUUGACGAUAAGAAAGUCUGUCACUAUUGGGCCCAGAGUAAUAAACAAAGAUCCUAUAUAAUUUCUUAUCAUCCUCUUGAUUAAUGCUUGUAAGCGCUACUAAAAUUUCUGAUUCUGGGUCUGAAAUUUUUUGAAUUUUUUUUUUUUGAAGGUUUUUCUUCUCGCUUUUUUUUAAAUCUUGUUGAUUUAGCUCUUCCAGCUCGGGUUUUACAACAAUCUCCUGAAGUCUUAGCUGAUCUUGUAUAUUAUAAACAUUUAAAUAAUCAAAUACUUGAUUUUGAUGUUCUUCAUUGGAAGGAUCAUCUAAUUCUCUCUGGAUGUUAGUUAAAUUUAACUCUUGUUCUAUGUCACAAUAGCAACUAGCAUCUGCUACAGAAAAAGUUGCAUCAACUGCUACACUAUUUAAACUUUGUUCUAUUUGGAUAGAGCUAUCCCUUAAUUCAGCC
This 1030-nucleotide non-coding RNA is filed under the name Cryptosporidium parvum. The record is from RNAcentral. Lineage: Eukaryota; Apicomplexa; Conoidasida; Eucoccidiorida; Cryptosporidiidae.